AAGGGUAUAGCUCAAGUGGUGGAGCGCAUGCUUAGCAUGCAUGAGGGCCUGGGUUCAAUUCCCAGUAUCUCCU
RNAcentral lists this transfer RNA (73 nucleotides) under Camelus bactrianus (Bactrian camel). It matches the Rfam family "tRNA". Rfam says of the family: Transfer RNA (tRNA) molecules are approximately 80 nucleotides in length. Their secondary structure includes four short double-helical elements and three loops (D, anti-codon, and T loops). Further hydrogen bonds mediate the characteristic L-shaped molecular structure. tRNAs have two regions of fundamental functional importance: the anti-codon, which is responsible for specific mRNA codon recognition, and the 3' end, to which the tRNAs corresponding amino acid is attached (by aminoacyl-tRNA synthetases). tRNAs cope with the degeneracy of the genetic code in two manners: having more than one tRNA (with a specific anti-codon) for a particular amino acid; and 'wobble' base-pairing, i.e. permitting non-standard base-pairing at the 3rd anti-codon position. RNAcentral also lists the same sequence under 2 other names. Lineage: Eukaryota; Metazoa; Chordata; Mammalia; Artiodactyla; Camelidae. The record is from Rfam by way of RNAcentral.